AGUAACGCGUGAGUAACCUGCCUCUAAGAGGGGAAUAACAUUCUGAAAAGAAUGCUAAUACCGCAUAACAUAUAUUUAUCGCAUGGUAGAUAUAUCAAAGAUUUAUCGCUUAGAGAUGGACUCGCGUCCGAUUAGUUAGUUGGUGAGGUAACGGCUCACCAAGACUGCGAUCGGUAGCCGGACUGAGAGGUUGAACGGCCACAUUGGGACUGAGACACGGCCCAA
This 225-nucleotide ribosomal RNA is filed under the name uncultured bacterium. RNAcentral's name for it is "partial 16S ribosomal RNA". It matches the Rfam family "Bacterial small subunit ribosomal RNA", at positions 109 to 334 of the family's 1533-position model. The record is from RNAcentral.